CCCAAUGUAGACAACUGCCUAGGUUGCCUUGUACCUAGGCAAGUGUUCCACUGUUGGGAGAAAAGCAGUCAAUAGCUGGCAAGCAUUCUUGGCCUGGCUAGUGCCAAAUUUGUGUUAACUAUGCCAGUAUGCCAACAUA
This 139-nucleotide small nucleolar RNA is filed under the name Ochotona princeps (American pika). RNAcentral's name for it is "Small nucleolar RNA SNORA74 (ENSOPRG00000024154.1)". Lineage: Eukaryota; Metazoa; Chordata; Mammalia; Lagomorpha; Ochotonidae. The record is from RNAcentral.